GACGAACGCUGGCGGCGUGCUUAACACAUGCAAGUCGAACGGAAAGGCCCUGGUUUUGUGGGGUGCUCGAGUGGCGAACGGGUGAGUAACACGUGAGUAACCUGCCCUUGACUUUGGGAUAACUUCAGGAAACUGGGGCUAAUACCGGAUAGGAGCUCCUGCUGCAUGGUGGGGGUUGGAAAGUUUCGGCGGUUGGGGAUGGACUCGCGGCUUAUCAGCUUGUUGGUGGGGUAGUGGCUUACCAAGGCUUUGACGGGUAGCCGGCCUGAGAGGGUGACCGGCCACAUUGGGACUGAGAUACGGCCCAGACUCCUACGGGAGGCAGCAGUGGGGAAUAUUGCACAAUGGGCGGAAGCCUGAUGCAGCAACGCCGCGUGCGGGAUGACGGCCUUCGGGUUGUAAACCGCUUUCGCCUGCGACGAAGCGUGAGUGACGGUAAUGGGUAAAGAAGCACCGGCUAACUACGUG
This 468-nucleotide ribosomal RNA is filed under the name uncultured bacterium. Its description in RNAcentral is "partial 16S ribosomal RNA". It matches the Rfam family "Bacterial small subunit ribosomal RNA", at positions 28 to 507 of the family's 1533-position model. The record is from RNAcentral.